RNAcentral lists this ribosomal RNA (253 nucleotides) under uncultured bacterium. Its description in RNAcentral is "partial 16S ribosomal RNA". It matches the Rfam family "Bacterial small subunit ribosomal RNA", at positions 524 to 776 of the family's 1533-position model. The record is from RNAcentral.
GACGAAGGUGGCAAGCGUUGUUCGGAAUCACUGGGCAUAAAGAGCACGUAGGCGGCUAAGUUAGUCGGAUGUGAAAUACCUCGGCUCAACCGAGGAACUGCGUCCGAUACUGCUUGGCUUGAGGUCCGGAGGGGAGAGUGGAAUUCCCGGUGGAGCGGUGAAAUGCGUAGAGAUCGGGAAGAACGCCGGCGGCGAAAGCGACUCUCUGGUCGGAAUCUGACGCUGAGGUGCGAAAGCUAGGGGAGCAAACGGG